GAAAAGAAAAUUGUUGUUAUGACGAAAAAUGUUCAAAAGCAAGAAAGGUCUCUGAUUUAAAACUUUAUCAUUUAACUUUCAUAUAGAUCAUUGAUUUGAGUGGGUACUUCAAAGUCGUUUCAGUGUCAAGCACGUGUUUCAAGCAUAUAGUUUUACUUAUUUACGAUGGUCUAGAAAAAAACUGUCGUUAUGAAGAAAUCUAUUCAAAAGGUUGGCAUGAGAGUAACCCUUCAAUGUAAUGACUACAUCUUACAUGAGGGAUCAAUUCCAAGUGAUAAGAUGCUUCGUUUUGUUGUAAAAAUCACUUCCUAUUUAGGGGGAAGGGGGGGGGGGGGGGGGUGCUGAGAAAAAAAGGAAAAUUUAAAAAGAAAAAUAUAUUGUGU
Molecule: long non-coding RNA, 383 nt
Filed under: Mytilus galloprovincialis (Mediterranean mussel)
Lineage: Eukaryota; Metazoa; Mollusca; Bivalvia; Mytilida; Mytilidae
Source: RNAcentral